UACGAAGGGUGCUAGCGUUGUUCGGAAUCACUGGGCGUAAAGCGCGCGUAUGCGGCUCGUCAAGUCAGGGGUGAAAUCCUGAGGCUCAACCUCAGAAUUGCCUCUGAAACUGUCGGGCUAGAGUGUCGGAGGGGAUAGCGGAAUUGCUAAUGUAGAGGUGAAAUUCGUAGAUAUUAGCAGGAACACCGGUGGCGAAGGCGGCUAUCUGGACGACAACUGACGCUGAGGCGCGAAAGCGUGGGGAUCAAACAGG
Molecule: ribosomal RNA, 253 nt
Filed under: uncultured bacterium
Lineage: Bacteria
Description: partial 16S ribosomal RNA
Rfam family: Bacterial small subunit ribosomal RNA
Source: RNAcentral